GGCCUCCCUCUGUGGGGUGAUUGGUCACGGGGCCCCCAGAUCAAUUGCCUUGCAGAGGGAGGCC
This is a non-coding RNA of Myotis lucifugus (little brown bat), 64 nucleotides long. NCBI's taxonomy places the organism in Eukaryota, Metazoa, Chordata, Mammalia, Chiroptera, Vespertilionidae. The record is from Rfam.